RNAcentral lists this ribosomal RNA (253 nucleotides) under uncultured bacterium. RNAcentral describes it as "partial 16S ribosomal RNA". It matches the Rfam family "Bacterial small subunit ribosomal RNA", at positions 524 to 776 of the family's 1533-position model. The record is from RNAcentral.
UACGUAGGGGGCUAGCGUUGUCCGGAUUUAUUGGGCGUAAAGAGCGUGUAGGCGGCCAGGUAGGUCUGGUGUGAAAACUCGAGGCUUAACCUCGAGAUGUCAUCGGAAACCAUCUGGCUAGAGUCCGGAAGAGGAGAGUGGAAUUCCUGGUGUAGCGGUGAAAUGCGCAGAUAUCAGGAGGAACACCGGUGGCGAAGGCGGCUUGCUGGGCCAGUUCUGACGCUGAGGAGCGAAAGCGUGGGGAGCGAACAGG